RNAcentral lists this long non-coding RNA (317 nucleotides) under Ananas comosus (pineapple). RNAcentral's name for it is "long non-coding RNA (ACOM_LNC003657)". The record is from RNAcentral. Lineage: Eukaryota; Viridiplantae; Streptophyta; Magnoliopsida; Poales; Bromeliaceae.
CGGUACUAUAGUCUCGUUUUGGAUCUUAGGGUGUUCAAAUCAACGAUCCACACUGUUAAAACUGAUCUAGGGUAUUUAAAGAUUUUAGAAAUAAUAUUUUAUAUUUUUUCGACAUAGUUUAUUUUAUGAUCAAACCAUUUCAAAAUUGUCAAUUUUCAAUGGCUACUAUAGCGAGUUUGGAGUUUAACGGUGUAGAAGAAUCUAAAUUUCUUCAAAUUUUGAUAGAAAAUACUUUAAACUAUCUAGAUUAAGAUUAACAUUCUUGAUUUUGAAUUUAAAAGCCCUAUGCUCAAAUUUUAAAGAUUAUUUACUUUCCA